GACGAACGCUGGCGGCGUGCUUAACACAUGCAAGUCGAACGGAAAGGCCCUGCUUUUGUGGGGUGCUCGAGUGGCGAACGGGUGAGUAACACGUGAGUAACCUGCCCUUGACUUUGGGAUAACUUCAGGAAACUGGGGCUAAUACCGGAUAGGAGCUCCUGCUGCAUGGUGGGGGUUGGAAAGUUUCGGCGGUUGGGGAUGGACUCGCGGCUUAUCAGCUUGUUGGUGGGGUAGUGGCUUACCAAGGCUUUGACGGGUAGCCGGCCUGAGAGGGUGACCGGCGACAUUGGGACUGAGAUACGGCCCAGACUCCUACGGGAGGCAGCAGGGGGGAAUAUUGCACAAUGGGCGGAAGCCUGAUGCAGCAACGCCGCGUGCGGGAUGAAGGCCUUCGGGUUGUAAACCGCUUUCGCCUGUGACGAAGCGUGAGUGACGGUAAUGGGUAAAGAAGCACCGGCUAACUACGUG
Molecule: ribosomal RNA, 468 nt
Filed under: uncultured bacterium
Lineage: Bacteria
Description: partial 16S ribosomal RNA
Rfam family: Bacterial small subunit ribosomal RNA
Source: RNAcentral